Molecule: transfer RNA, 88 nt
Filed under: Opitutaceae bacterium
Lineage: Bacteria; Pseudomonadati; Verrucomicrobiota; Opitutia; Opitutales; Opitutaceae
Description: tRNA-Leu
Rfam family: tRNA
About the family: Transfer RNA (tRNA) molecules are approximately 80 nucleotides in length. Their secondary structure includes four short double-helical elements and three loops (D, anti-codon, and T loops).
Source: RNAcentral
GCCCGGAUGGCGGAAUUGGCAGACGCAGCAGACUCAAAAUCUGCCGACCGAAAGGUCAUUGUGGGUUCGACCCCCUCUCCGGGCACCA